RNAcentral lists this ribosomal RNA (253 nucleotides) under uncultured bacterium. Its description in RNAcentral is "partial 16S ribosomal RNA". It matches the Rfam family "Bacterial small subunit ribosomal RNA", at positions 524 to 776 of the family's 1533-position model. The record is from RNAcentral.
UACGGAGGGUGCAAGCGUUAUCCGGAUUUACUGGGGUUAAAGGGUGCGUAGGUGGGUCUGUAAGUCAGUGGUGAAAUCUCCGAGCUUAACUCGGAAACUGCCAUUGAUACUAUAGGUCUUGAAUUAUCUGGAGGUGAGCGGAAUAUGUCAUGUAGCGGUGAAAUGCUUAGAUAUGACAUAGAGCACCAAUUGCGAAGGCAGCUCACUACGGAUAUAUUGACACUGAGGCACGAAAGCGUGGGGAUCAAACAGG